GGUGACAUACAUUAGAAGUUUCUCUCUGAUCAUAUGGCUAACUUGAAGAGUCUCAGUGGACGGAGACUUUACUGAAGAGUCCCAUUGGAUGGGGACUCUAGAGAAGAGUCCCACUAGACUUGGACUCUAUUAUUAAUGAAAAAUUAAUUAGUAAUUAGAUCACUAAUUAGUUCAAUUUGAUUGAAUAUUAAAGUUUGAAUCAAGUUUGAUUGAAUUGGAUUCAAUUAGGUCAAGUCUG
This 238-nucleotide long non-coding RNA is filed under the name Elaeis guineensis (African oil palm). RNAcentral describes it as "long non-coding RNA (EGUI_LNC070474)". Lineage: Eukaryota; Viridiplantae; Streptophyta; Magnoliopsida; Arecales; Arecaceae. The record is from RNAcentral.